Molecule: ribosomal RNA, 638 nt
Filed under: uncultured fungus
Lineage: Eukaryota; Fungi
Description: eukaryotic LSU rRNA
Rfam family: Eukaryotic large subunit ribosomal RNA
Source: RNAcentral
CCCGCUGAACUUAAGCAUAUCAAUAAGCGGAGGAAAAGAAACUAACAAGGAUUCCCCUAGUAACGGCGAGUGAAGCGGGAAGAGCUCAAAUUUAAAAUCUGGCGGUGUAUUCCGUCCGAGUUGUAGUCCAAAGAAGCGUUAAAUCCGGGCUGACCAUGUACAAGUCUCUUGGAACAGAGCGUCAUAGAGGGUGAGAAUCCCGUCCUUGACAUGGACUCCCAGUGCUUUGUGUUGUGCUCUCGACGAGUCGAGUUGUUUGGGAAUGCAGCUCAAAAUGGGUGGUAAAUUCCAUCUAAAGCUAAAUAUUGGCGAGAGACCGAUAGCGAACAAGUACCGUGAGGGAAAGAUGAAAAGCACUUUGGAGAGAGAGUUAAACAGUACGUGAAAUUGUUGAAAUGGAAACGCUUGAAGUCAGUCGCGUUCUCUGGGAUUCAGCCUUGCUUCUGCUUGGUGCACUUCCUAGUCUACGGGCCAGCAUGGAUUUCGACCGAUGGAAAAAGGCUUGGGGAAUGUGGCACCUCCGGGUGUGUUAUAGCCCUUUGUCAGACACGUCGGUUGGGAUCGAGGACCUCAGUGCACGCUUCGGUUGUGCUUUGAUGCUGGCGUAAUGGCUUUAAACGACCCGUCUUGAAACACGG